This 612-nucleotide ribosomal RNA is filed under the name Triticum aestivum (bread wheat). Its description in RNAcentral is "partial small subunit ribosomal RNA". The record is from RNAcentral. Lineage: Eukaryota; Viridiplantae; Streptophyta; Magnoliopsida; Poales; Poaceae.
ACAUGGGAAUCGGUAUGGAACUUAGUCUGCCCAGCAAAGAUAAAAAUAUUUAUGUGGCGGGCGCUCCAGAGUGCUAUUCCCUGUCCAUCUAUCCUGGCUAAUAAGCACUUUGAAAUAAAUCCGAGUUGCCCAGCCUGUAACCAGGGGCCUGAUGACAUAAGACAUAUGUUGUUCGAAUGCAAAUUGGCAAUGGAUGUGCGGAAGAUGCUCGGUCUUGAGCUUGUUAUCAAACAGGCACUGAAAGUUGACAAGGCAGAUGAGCUUGUGUUGGCACAUCUUCUAUGCCUUCCAGAACAAUAAACCCAAGUGUUGGGCUUGCCGACGCUCAGAGAAACGAUGGCAACGACGGCUUGGUAUUUGUGGUAUGAAAGGCCAAAAUUGACACAUGACGAAGAAACUCAAAGUGCGUGUCAAAUCAAUAGGUCAGUGAGAGGCUUAGUAGCAAAUUAUACCAUCUCUUAUAGCCCAAAGGCUCACGCCCGUUCAGAUGCUUGGCUGAAACCAAAGUAUAAUUACGUGAAAUUAAACGUUGAUGCGGGAUUUGAUAUUGACACACUCGCAGCAACAUUUGGAGCAGUUAUCCGGAACCAUAGGGGGGGGGGGGAUUUAUAG